Molecule: long non-coding RNA, 857 nt
Organism: Ornithorhynchus anatinus (platypus)
Lineage: Eukaryota; Metazoa; Chordata; Mammalia; Monotremata; Ornithorhynchidae
Exons: 3
Source: RefSeq, a predicted model, not a curated record
UGCUACAUAUAGGCACAGCUGUGAUGCUUAAGGCAGAUAAAAGGUGGUGGAUUGUUGGGUUUUUUUUUUUUUUUUAAAGCAUACACAGAGUAAGAGAAGGUAUGCUGAUGUAGUAUUGAGGUACCUGGAGCAGCAGAAGGGAGCAGUAUGCGGCAGCAGUUGGCAGCAGUUGGCAGCAGAAAGAAGAAGCAUUGAUAGAACAGGCUCCCUUGACCAGCAUACUGGUAUUGGACUUUGGUUGAAUAGAGGGAGAUGUUUUUUGGAGUGAAUAAUCCAACCGACUUGUAAUGAGGCUUGUGAAGGAUAAUUUAAGGUGAAAAACAGGGAAGCCACUUCCAAAUCUGCCUGCUCAAUCACUAACCACCUGAGACCAGCAGUCCUGAGCAGGAGUAAGAAAGUCAUCCUGAACCAAGAGCUCUCCAAUGGAGUCAACUACUAGGUGGAUGGGUUGAGAAGGUGUUGACAGUUUGGUAGAAGAGAAACUUGUGUGGAUAUAUAACAACCAACUACUUGCCUCUUAAGGAAGCACUGCUUUAACUCAGAUGAGAAACGGAAUUAUUAGUACGAAAAGGUAAUUAAUUGCAAUUGAAUAGCCUGCUUGAAAUCACUGGUUGAACUCGGGAGAAUUCAGGAAAAGAAAACAAUACAAAGUCUACGGACACCAUUUGCAAGUUAUUUCCUCUGAAGAUUUUAAAACCAAGCCCUCGCAUGGCUAUAUCCAUAAAAAGGCAGAUGCUCUGUCAUUUCAAAGGGACUCAGUUUUCAGUGAAUUGACCUUGUAAUUGCAGUGCUUAUUAAAAUGACUGGUUAUUUUGUUCCAAUGAUAGAAAGUUGGUAGAAGAACAUGAAUUGCAAAU